Non-coding RNA from Corchorus olitorius, 75 nucleotides. NCBI's taxonomy places the organism in Eukaryota, Viridiplantae, Streptophyta, Magnoliopsida, Malvales, Malvaceae. The record is from the annotation of a GenBank genome assembly.
ACUAUUUGGUUUAGUGGUAGAAUGCUGGAUUCUUAAUUCCAGUGGUUAGGGUUCGAUCCCUUACAACCUCAAGUA